This 1302-nucleotide long non-coding RNA is filed under the name Homo sapiens (human). RNAcentral describes it as "non-protein coding lnc-HIST2H3PS2-14:1". The record is from RNAcentral. Lineage: Eukaryota; Metazoa; Chordata; Mammalia; Primates; Hominidae.
AAGGAGCCUGGGGCGCCGGCGCCUGCUUGGAGUACCCAUAAUACAGUGAGCCCACCUUCCUGGUCCCCAGACAUUUCAGGAGGUCGGGAAAUUUUUAAACCCAGGCAGCUUCCUGGCAGUGCCAUUUGGAGCAUCAAAGUGUCUGUUACAUAGGGCCAUGGGUCUGGAUUUCCAGGAAAGCGGAGACCUCGAGGUGCAGGACUGUCGGGGCGAGGUGGCCGAGGCAGGUCAAAGCUGAAAAGUGGAAUCGGAGCUGUUGUAUUGCCUGGGGUGAGGCUUGCUGUGUCUACUGCAGAUAUUUCAUCAAAUAAGGAUGAUGAAGAAAACUCUGUGCUCGAUAUGGUUGUGUUGUUUUCUAGCAGUGACAAAUUCACUUUGAAUCAGAGUCUCCAUUUAAAAUAUGUUCUGUUUUCUUAACUUCAGGAUAUAUGUGUAGUUUGUGGCAGUUUUGGCCAAGGAGCAGAAGGAAGAUUACUUGCCUGUUCUCAGUGUGGUCAGUGUUACCAUCCAUACUGUGUCAGUAUUAAGGUAAACAUCCUUAAACUGAGUUUACAGAUCACUAAAGUGGUUCUUAGCAAAGGUUGGAGGUGUCUUGAGUGCACUGUGUGUGAGGCCUGUGGGAAGGCAACUGACCCAGGAAGAUUCCUGCUGUGUGAUGAUUGUGACAUAAGUUAUCACACCUACUGCCUAGACCCUCCAUUGCAGACAGUUCCCAAAGGAGACUGGAAGUGCAAAUGGUGUGUUUGGUGCAGACACUGUGGAGCAACAUCUGCAGGUCUAAGAUGUGAAUGGCAGAACAAUUACACACAGUGCGCUCCUUGUGCAAGUUUAUCUUCCUGUCCAGUCUGCUAUUGAAACUAUAAAGAAGAAGAUCUUAUUCUGCAAUGAAGACAAUGUGAUAGGUAUAGAUGGAUGCAUGCAGUUCGUCAGAACUUAAAUACUGAGGAAGAAGUGGAAAAUGUAGCAGACAUUGGUUUUGAUUGUAACAUGUGCAGACCCUAUAUGCCUGCGUCUAAUUCAGUGCCUUCCUCAGACUGCUGUGGAUCUUCACUUGUAGCACAAAUUGUCACAAAAGUAAAAGAGCUAUUAGACCCACCCAAGACUUAUACCCAGGAUGGUGUGUGUUUGACUGAAUCAGGGAAGACUCAGUUACAGAGCCUCACAGUUACAGUUCCAAGAAGAAAACUGUCAAAACCAAAACUGAAAUUGAAGAUUAUAAAUCAGAAUAGCGUGGCCGUCCUUCAGACCCCUCCAGACAUCCAAUCAGAACAUUCAAGGGAUGGUGAUAUGGAUGAUAGUCGA